This 438-nucleotide long non-coding RNA is filed under the name Bos mutus (wild yak). Its description in RNAcentral is "lncRNA (ENSBMUG00000023708.1)". The record is from RNAcentral. Lineage: Eukaryota; Metazoa; Chordata; Mammalia; Artiodactyla; Bovidae.
UUCUCUCCUGUGGGUUCUGACCACGUCCUGGUCUUAUUCUCCCCCAGGGAGUGACAGUGCCCAGGGCUCUGAUGUGUCUCUCACGGUUCCUAAAGUGUGAGACACCUGCCUUAUGGGGACUGAGUGAUGCUUCAUCCCGCUAUGUGACAUUAGAUCCCUGGACCGCUCUUUCUGCAGCUGCAUCUGAAUGCGUCUGUGCUCCUAUUCCCAUAACGUAGGAGUUAGGGAGACUGGCCCACCCAUGCCCACUGCUGCCCUUCCCCACUGCCGUCCCUCCCGACCCUGACCUGUGUUCUCUUCCCUGAUCCACUGUCCUGUUCCAGCAGAAACGAGGCUGGACCAUGUCUAUCCCUGUCUUUGCUUUAUAUACACUGAAUAAUGAUAUCUUAUUUCCUUAUUGAAAAUAAAAUCUGUAUAUAUGAAUUAGUUUUUUCUAAU